CCCGCUGAACUUAAGCAUAUCAAUAAGCGGAGGAAAAGAAACUAACAAGGAUUCCCCUAGUAACUGCGAGUGAAGAGGGAAGAGCUCAAAUUUAAAAUCUGGCUGUCUCUGGCAGUCCGAGUUGUAGUUUAGAGAAGUGUUAUCCGCGCUGGCCUGUGCAUAAGUUUCUUGGAAAAGAACAUCAUAGAGGGUGACAAUCCCGUCUUUGGCACAGAUUACCGGGGCUUUUGUGAUACGCUCUCAACGAGUCGCGUUGUUUGGGAAUGCAGCGCUAAAUGGGUGGUAAAUUCCAUCUAAAGCUAAAUAUUGGCGAGAGACCGAUAGCGAACAAGUACCGUGAGGGAAAGAUGAAAAGCACUUUGGAAAGAGAGUCAAACAGUACGUGAAAUUGUUGAAAGGGAAGCGCUUGAAGUCAGUCGCGUCUGCCAGGACUCAGCCGUUGCCCCUAGCUCGGCGCACUUCCUGGUGGACGGGCCAGCAUCGAUUUUGACCAUAGGAAAAAGGCCCAUGGGAAGGUGGCACCUCCGGGUGUGUUAUAGCCCUGGGUCAUAUACUCUGGUUGGGAUCGAGGAACUCAGCACGCCCUUGUGGUCGGGGAGCAAUCCCACGUAUCGUGCUUAGGAUGCUGGCGUAAUGGCUUUAAGCGACCCGUCUUGAAACACGG
This 664-nucleotide ribosomal RNA is filed under the name uncultured fungus. RNAcentral describes it as "eukaryotic LSU rRNA". It matches the Rfam family "Eukaryotic large subunit ribosomal RNA", at positions 24 to 664 of the family's 3401-position model. Lineage: Eukaryota; Fungi. The record is from RNAcentral.